UUUUUUUUUUUUUUUGUUUGUUUGUUUGUUUUUGUCUUUUUGCUAUUUCUUUGGGCCGCUCCUGUGGCAUAUGGAGGUUCCUAGGCUAGGGGUCUAAUCGGAGCUGUAGCUACUGGCCUACGCCAGAGCCACAGCAACGUGGGAUCCAAGCUGCGUCUGCAACCUACACCACAGCUCAUGGCAACGCCGGAUCAUUAACCCACUGAGCAAGAGCAGGGACCGAACCCGCAACCUCAUGGUUCCGAGUCGGAUUCGUUAACCACUGCGCCACGAACCAUGAGGCCAGUAUGUCUGUUUUUUUUUAAUGAACCCCAAACUAUGGAAAUAGUCAAGAUCUCUCUCAAACUCCGAGGGGCUGUGGUAAAAGGGAAUGGGCCAGGAAAAGGGCAGCAGAACCCUUGCAGAGGGAGCGAGGUCUUCCAUGUGUCUCAGUUCUCUGAAGCUCAGCUGGGGGUAGGGGUGGAAGUCCAUUGAUCUCCCACGUGCUGACAGAGCCACAUUUGGCUGUCCCUGGAGCUGGCAUCAAGGAGAGACCAGAUCCCCUUCGAGUAGUUCCUGCCCAACAGAAUGCAGACAGAUGCUGGGGGAGGAGGUGGCCCCCAUGGAGAGUCCUCUGCCCAUGGGCUGCUGUUUCCCACCUUCCCUGGUGAGCUUUUGGAGGCUGAAUUCAAAGGGUGCGCAGCAAGGGCCCUGGUUCCACUGGCGAGCCUUCCAGUGCUGUAUGCAGAGAAGCUGGACGUGCCCUAGACCUUGAGGUGGAGACUUUUAAACCCAUGUCUAUAGGUUUUUUCAGAUGAUAACUGUACAGUGGGAAAGUCUUCUCAAUGCCCUAGCACCUCAGUUAGAGGUGCCAUUGCUAACAGGAAGGGGGAGCACAAGGGGUUAGGCUAAGUAAUAAAAAAAAACAGUCAGUUCUAAACUAGUGGUAAUAACAGAGCCCAGGAUGAUGCAAUAGUCUCCUACGGUAGCUGUAACAAAUUACCACAAACUGGAUUUCCCGUUGUGGCUCAGUGGUUAACAAAUCCAGCUAGGAACCAUGAGGUUGCGGGUUCGAUCCCUGGCCAUGAGCUAUGGUGUAGGUUGCAGACACGACUCAGAUCCUGUGUUGCUGUGGCUCUGGUGUAGGCCGGCGGAUCCAGCUCCAAUUGGACCCCUGGCCUGGGAACCUCCAUAUACCACAGGAGUGGCCCAAGAUAAUGGGAAAAAGACCAAAAAAAAAAAAUUACCACAAACUGAAAACAACGUGGAUUUAUCAUCUGUAGCCCUGGAGGUCAGAAUUCCAAAAUAGGUUUCACUGGGCUAAAAUCGAGGUGUCAGCAAAGUUGCAAUCCUUCCAAGGUUCUAGGGGGGCAUCUGUUUCCUUGCCUUUCCUGGCUCCUAGACACACAUUCCUUGGCUUGUGGCCCCUUCCUCCAACCCCAAAGCCAGCAAUAGUAAAGCAGGUCCUUCUCACACAGCAUCUCUGUGGUUCUGUCUUCCGAGUCCCUCUUCCACCUUUACCCUUAUGAUUACCUUGGGUCCACCCAGAAAUCAGGCUAGUCUCUCUAUUUUUUUUUUAAUUUCUUUUUCUUGGCAGUUUUUCUUUUUUUUCCCCAGUUUUAUUGAGAUAUAAUUGACAUGUAUUCAUUUAAGCUGUAUAACAUAAUGAUUUGCUAUAUGUCUAUACUGUGAAAUGAUCAUCACAGUAAAGUUAGUUAACAUCCAUUAUCUCACAUGGUUACAAUUUUUUUCCUUGUGAUGAGAGCUUUAAAGAUCUAUUGUCUUACCUAUUUAUUUGUAGUCUAUGAAAAUACCAAAUUUCCAUAUUUUAAAGUCAGCUGAUUAGCAACCUUAAUUCCAUCUGUAACCGUAACUGCUCCCCCUUCCCUGCCACAUAACCUCACAAGUCCCAGGCAUGGGAGGUAGAGGUCUUUGGGAAGUCAGUGUUCUGCCUGAUACAGAUGACAUGUAUUCACUACAAGUGGAGAUCAAGCAGUUUUUCAUUAACAGACACAUACUGAGUGCUGAGUUGCACCCAGAAGGUAAAUAAUAGACACAAGGAGAGAAGACAAUGUGACAAGUAACACGAUGUAGGCCUCCGAAAAAAGGAAGGCUCGCUCAGCUCAGUGACACAGGGAAAUCUUCAUGCUGAUCUUGCUGUUUACCCAAGAAUCUCACUUAUUCCCACCACUUUCCUGACCAUGUCAGAGCUACAAAAAAAUAAGUGGACAGGAGUUCCCGUUGUGGUGCAGUGGAAGUGAAUCUGACUAGUAUCCAUGUGGAUGCAGGUUUGAUCCCUGGCAUCGCUCAGCGGGUCAGGGAUCUGUUGUUGCCAUGAGCUGUGGUGUUAUGUCACAGUCAUAGCUUGGAUCCUGUGUUGCUGUGGCUGUAGGCCAGCAGCUGCAGAUCCAGUUUGACCCCAAGCCUGGAAACUUCGAUGUGCUGCAGGUGCAGCCCUAAAAAAAAAUAAUAAUAAUAAGUAGAAAAAUGGCCCAGUGGGCCAUCUUCAUCAUGGCUGAUAUUUAAUUGAGCACUUACUGCAUACCAAGAACAGUUCUGAGAUGCUUUAUUUAUACGAACUCAUUAAACCCUCUCAACAAUCCAAUGUGGCAAAUGCUGGUAUCUCUAUUUGGUAGAGAAGGACACUGAGACCCAGAGUUUGCAUAACUUGCCCAAGUUCACAGAGCCAGAAAAUACUCUUGUUCUUCCUCCUUCUGGUGGCUGAUUUGUCACUGAUGUCACAAAGACAGGGAGAAAAGAGUGACAGUAGUAAUAAUGGUAAUAGAAAUGGAUUAACUCAAUAAUAAGUAAUAAAUUAUAAUAAUAAGGAGAAAACACUCACGUUUUCAGUACAAAGUGUUCUACAUACAAUAACUCACUUAAUCCCAGGAAUAACCCUGAGAUAUAAUUAUUAUCCCACUGUACUGAUAAAUACAUAGAAACAGAAAGACAUCAACUUGUUCACCUGUUCAAAAAGUGGAGUUCCAGUGCAUCUAGCUUCAAAACCUGUGCUUGGGCAGAGAAAAGCAAGGAGAAAAAUUAUAGCGCCGUGCAAUGGUUCCCAAACUUCAUUUGCUUCAGAAUCUCCUGGAAGGCUUGUUAAAAUCCAGAUGUUUCUGAUUCAGGGGGAAUCUAAUGAGAUCUAGACUGCUAAGCUGUGGCUAUGGUAGAAGGAAAUAAGAGCUUCCUUGUUCUUGUUCAGCUACACUGAACCUUGACUUUGCCCUCAACCAUCAUGUGAAAAACAUGAGUGAAAUGAUCCUGGAGUUGGGACUCCCAGAAACCUGGAAAACUAUUUCAUCUUAGGAGAACCGUCCUAAAGCCAACUCUAUUCUCCCGGAAUUUCUCCUGAUAACACCGAUGGCUUCAAAACCCUGGGUGGUUUGUUAGGACUGAGAAAAGAGCUUGGAGAAAGGAGCAUUUAAAUAGAUCCUAUCAUUCCUUUUAUUCUUUAAAGGGUAAGCACUGUCUCAUAUCAAACGUUUCGCUUUCGGUCAUGGCCUUGAGACAAAACCGGUGUCCCCAUCUUUUGGAUUUGGUGAAAGGUUAACUUCAUUUUUCCCAGAAGGAGUCCCAUCCCUCUGCCAACCUCCUGGUCCCCAAGGCAGCAUUAACCACUGAUCACAACUCUCAGCUUGCACUUCCAGACAUGUCUGGUCAAUGUUUCUUUUAAGAUGCUAAAAUCACCAGAAAGAGCUGUAGACUCUGAGAAACUUUUUAGUUGUUAAGCUAGGACCACAAAAUUGACUUACUGAACAUUUUUAAUAUUAUCUCCUUUGGACACAAAAUAUAUUCCCAGGAUAGUUAAUCUGAUAAAAUGAGAGGCCAAUGUCAUGAUUCAUUAGAGAGAUAAUUCUUGGAGAAGUAACAUCCAGGCUCUGGAGUAGGGGCUGAUAAAAAUUUGGCACACAGGGCCAUGAGCAUCAGGAAAGCCUGGUAUCUGUUAUGCAAGCUUGUGAGAAAAUCAAAGCUUAAGGAAGUCCAAGUCUCUAUUUUCUAAACAUUGCAGACUUCUGUGCACUUGUGCACACACAUUCCUAGAAACGGGGGUCCUGCCUCCCUACAAAGGGCCACAUGGGGAAGCACCAGGAUUGGUCAGGAGGCAGAAAAAGUGAGGGGCAAUGUGGGUGAGAGCCUUUAUUGUGGUUUUUGUGGGAAGGAUCAGGUGAGGCAGGGUAAGCAGGCUUAUGAUUUGUGAGUUUGAAUAAACUCAGCAAGUUCUGGGGCAUGGGGGCUGUCCCUCGUUGUCUAGUAGCUGGUGUUGGAGAGAUCAGGGCAGGUGGAUGGAGGCCCAGAGUGUGAGAAUCUAGUAGAUAAGAUGGUUGGGGGCAUGGGCUCUGCUGUGAUUGGUUUGCAUUUGAAAGGCACACUCUCGGGCAUGUAGGUAUUACCUCUAGGAAUUAGCUAAUCCUGGGAAUGGAAGAGCAGUCCCUCUGGGGCCAUCAAGGCCCCCAAGAUGUCAGAUCAUCAGAAUACAGAAAAAUAGAAAGACAUGAUUAAUAGAUACACACACAAGUACACACACACAGAGAGGGGAAAAUUUACAGCACAAUACCAUACCUCAGGCAGCUGUUUGGUUGCAGGAUUGUUUUGUUUCUUCUCUAGACCCUUUGUUGACAGUAGAUGCUUUUUUUCCCUGCAAGUGACUGGCUUGGUAGUGGAUGUCCCUGG
RNAcentral lists this long non-coding RNA (4650 nucleotides) under Sus scrofa (pig). Its description in RNAcentral is "lncRNA (ENSSSCG00060013615.1)". Lineage: Eukaryota; Metazoa; Chordata; Mammalia; Artiodactyla; Suidae. The record is from RNAcentral.